RNAcentral lists this long non-coding RNA (392 nucleotides) under Helianthus annuus (common sunflower). RNAcentral's name for it is "sRNA HanXRQr2_Chr10g0438501". The record is from RNAcentral. Lineage: Eukaryota; Viridiplantae; Streptophyta; Magnoliopsida; Asterales; Asteraceae.
UUACCCUAUAAUCUAGAAGUGCAUGUUUUCAAGGAGAUGAUCAUCAUUACAAAGAUUACACCCAAUCUCCUCUCUCCUCUCUCUAAAAAUCGGUUCAUACCCCCUUCCCCUCUCACCAUAACUGAAAUUCAUCAUCUCCUACCUUCACAACUUCAUCUCUUUCACUAGUAAACCCUAUUCCAAGCUCCAAGGCCCUCCAUAGAAGCAAGAAGUUGAAGUGCUCUCAAGAAGCUUUGUUCAAGGCUUUUCUCACCAUCAUUUCUUGUCAUCUCAUCCUAAGAUUACAACCCUAGCCUUGUGCUAGUAUCGAGAAAAUGAUUUUUUGUAAAAUAUGGGUAGUCGUGUUCGCUGAGGAGAUUUGGGUUACGAGUACCGAAGACGCAAUAUUGUGA